AUCUGAGGGCGUUCUGGCUGCAAUAUCUGUCACCCCAUUGAUCGCCAGGGUUGAUUUGGCUGAUCUGGCUGGCUAGGCGGGGUGUUCCUUCCUCCCUCACCGCUCCAUGUGCAUCCCUCCUGAAGCUGCACGCUCGGUUGAAGAGGACGACCUUCCCCGCUAGAGGAGGACCGGUCUUUGGUCAAGGGUAUACGAGUAGCUGCGCUCCCCUGCUAGAACCUCCAAACAAGCUCUCUUUUGACCUAUUCAAAAGUGAUCUUCUUUAAGACGUUUUCCCUGACCUACCCACAGGGUUCAAUCUGUAAUUAUUUACUCCAGCCAAAAUUUUUCUUCAAGUAUGAGUGCCUUU
This 349-nucleotide small nuclear RNA is filed under the name Oryctolagus cuniculus (rabbit). RNAcentral's name for it is "7SK RNA". The stretch from base 1 to 311 matches the Rfam family "7SK RNA". Rfam says of the family: 7SK was discovered as an abundant small nuclear RNA in the mid-70s but a possible function has only recently been suggested. Lineage: Eukaryota; Metazoa; Chordata; Mammalia; Lagomorpha; Leporidae. The record is from Rfam by way of RNAcentral.